UACGAAGGGGGCUAGCGUUGCUCGGAAUGACUGGGCGUAAAGGGCUCGUAGGCGGUCUGUCACGUCGGGAGUGAAAACACGGGGCUUAACCCCGUGCCUGCUUCCGAUACGGGCAGACUAGAGGUAUGCAGGGGAGAACGGAAUUCCUGGUGUAGCGGUGAAAUGCGCAGAUAUCAGGAGGAACACCGGUGGCGAAGGCGGUUCUCUGGGCAUUACCUGACGCUGAGGAGCGAAAGUGUGGGGAGCGAACAGG
RNAcentral lists this ribosomal RNA (253 nucleotides) under uncultured bacterium. RNAcentral describes it as "partial 16S ribosomal RNA". It matches the Rfam family "Bacterial small subunit ribosomal RNA", at positions 524 to 776 of the family's 1533-position model. The record is from RNAcentral.